RNAcentral lists this ribosomal RNA (372 nucleotides) under uncultured organism. RNAcentral describes it as "bacterial SSU rRNA". It matches the Rfam family "Bacterial small subunit ribosomal RNA", at positions 526 to 896 of the family's 1533-position model. The record is from RNAcentral.
CAGAGGGGGCAAGCGUUAUUCGGAAUUAUUGGGCGUAAAGGGCGCGUAGGCGGCUUUUCAAGUGGCGGGUGAAAUCCCUCGGCUUAACCGAGGAACUGCCUGCCAGACUGAAUGGCUUGAGACCGGGAGAGGUGAGUGGAAUUCCCAGUGUAGCGGUGAAAUGCGUAGAUAUUGGGAGGAACACCAGUGGCGAAGGCGGCUCACUGGACCGGUACUGACGCUGAGGCGCGAAAGCGUGGGGAGCAAACAGGAUUAGAUACCCUGGUAGUCCACGCCGUAAACGAUGAGUGCUUGGUGUAGCGGGUAUCGACCCCUGCUGUGCCGACGUCAACACAUUAAGCACUCCGCCUGGGGAGUACGGUCGCAAGACUG